This 301-nucleotide long non-coding RNA is filed under the name Olea europaea (common olive). Its description in RNAcentral is "long non-coding RNA (OEUR_LNC000461)". Lineage: Eukaryota; Viridiplantae; Streptophyta; Magnoliopsida; Lamiales; Oleaceae. The record is from RNAcentral.
UAUACGAAGUAGACAGCUCAGCGUCGACCAACGCCCAAAUAGCAGCAUUGACAAAACAAGUGGAGUUAUUGGUGAAGUCACAAACAAAAGGAGCACAUGCAGUGAUAGCCGGUCCAUCAUGUGAGAACUGCGGAGCUAAUCAUCUAACAGAAAAUUGCACAUCUUUAGGCUUUCCAGAGGAACAAAUCAACUUCAUUCAAAAUGGCUCUCGAAAUUUUAAUCCCUUUUCACAGACAUUUAACCCAGGAUGGAGACAACACCCAAACUUCAGAUGGUCGGAUAAUCAGCAAGGGAGCAGUUC